UACAGAGGUCUCAAGCGUUGUCCGGAAUCAUUGGGCGUAAAGAGCGUGUAGGCGGCCAGGUAGGUCUGCUGUGAAAACUCGAGGCUCAACCUCGAGACGUCGGCGGAAACCAUCUGGCUAGAGUCCGGAAGAGGAGAGUGGAAUUCCUGGUGUAGCGGUGAAAUGCGCAGAUAUCAGGAAGAACACCCGUGGCGAAGGCGGCUCUCUGGGACGGUACUGACGCUGAGACGCGAAAGCGUGGGGAGCGAACAGG
This 253-nucleotide ribosomal RNA is filed under the name uncultured bacterium. RNAcentral's name for it is "partial 16S ribosomal RNA". It matches the Rfam family "Bacterial small subunit ribosomal RNA", at positions 524 to 776 of the family's 1533-position model. The record is from RNAcentral.